RNAcentral lists this ribosomal RNA (253 nucleotides) under uncultured bacterium. Its description in RNAcentral is "partial 16S ribosomal RNA". It matches the Rfam family "Bacterial small subunit ribosomal RNA", at positions 524 to 776 of the family's 1533-position model. The record is from RNAcentral.
UACAGGGGGGGCAAGCGUUGUUCGGAAUUACUGGGCGUAAAGGGCGCGUAGGCGGCCUUCUAAGUCGAACGUGAAAUCCCCGGGCUCAACCCGGGAACUGCGUCCGAUACUGGAAGGCUUGAAUCCGGGAGAGGGAUGCGGAAUUCCAGGUGUAGCGGUGAAAUGCGUAGAGAUCAUGAGGAAGACCAGUGGCGAAGGCGGGUCUCUGGACAGUUCCUGACACUGAGGCACGAAGGCCAGGGGAGCAAACGGG